This is a non-coding RNA of Triticum aestivum (bread wheat), 85 nucleotides long. NCBI's taxonomy places the organism in Eukaryota, Viridiplantae, Streptophyta, Magnoliopsida, Poales, Poaceae. The record is from Rfam.
UGGCAGUGAUUUGAUUCUUACCCGCGCUUCUGAUUACUCCAUGAAGUACAAGGGAAAACAUGGUUGAAUUUCUUAAUAUGAGCCA